Molecule: non-coding RNA, 30 nt
Filed under: Mus musculus (house mouse)
Lineage: Eukaryota; Metazoa; Chordata; Mammalia; Rodentia; Muridae
Source: RNAcentral
UGAUAUAUGUUUCUUUCUCUACUAGUGAUC